AGCAAAUGACAGCAAAGAUAACCGAAUUACAACAAUCAAAUUGAGGAGAAAAAGGGAAAAAUUGUAAAUAUUAUAUUUCAUUUUUGGCUAUAAAAAGCCAUUGUAAAUAUUGAUUUUGAGGAUACACGGAUUGAAAAAAAAAACAAUUAGAAUUGAAAAGGUGAUUCAAGUUUACAGUUUUUUUUUUAGUUUUCAGAUUUCGUUUUUUUAAUAUUUUUUCUCUUCUCUUCUUUUCUCUCAUAUUUCACAUGAAGAGAAUAAAGGAAAAGAGUACUUGCCUUUGGCCUUUGAUCGCAUCUCUUUUGCUCAUGGUCGGCCACCAAGUUUGAUGGUGGUUCAGCAGUGACUUUGAGAGCCCUAACAUUAGAGAUUUGAUUUGCUGUUUGCAAAAAUGGCAGUGCCAUUCAGUUUUUUUUCUUUAAUUUUGAUUGCAAAGAAACAACACCGUUUCAAGGGGAAAUGUUUGGUUAUUUGCUGCAGAUGGUUAAUUUAUGCGAUUAAUCCCUCCCCUUCGCGUUGAUUUUCAAUUGGAUCCUAUUUGUGUUUUAUUUGUUUUUUAAAUUUUUCCUAAAAUCUGUGUGCUAUUUCAAUUUAGCCCGCGUUUAAGCUUUAUGUUUUGGGACCAGGAUUAUUCCCAACUUUAGUCCCUUAGCAUUUACGCGCAUUAUGCAUUAGCCCUCUGUUUAAUUUCAAAAUUUAUAAAUUAUCCCCUUUCAUUUUAAAUUUAUUUCAAUUAGGAUUUUUGUUUAUAUGAUUUAUUAUUUUUGAGGAGACUCAUUUAAUAUAUUUUUUAUGUGUCAGAAUUGUUUUAAUAAUUUUUAUUUUUGUUUAAAUAAAUCUUUGUUUUGAAAUCUUUAUACUAUUUUACAGUACGUAUAGAAUUUGAUUUAAAUAUUCAUGUUGAGCUUUCUAUUUGAAAUGCUUAUUAUUUUAAAAUUUACUUAAUAUUCUUAUAUAUGUGUUAAUUUAAAAAAAAAGAAAUAAUUUUGUUUUAUUUUUAUUUGUACAGUUAUUUUGGAGUUGAUUUUAUUAUAUUAUUUUUAACAUUUUUUUAUAAUUUUUCGACUAAAUAUUUCCGGAUAUGUUUGUACAUAUAUUAUUUUAAUGGGCUUUUUUUUAUUUUAAAAUACUUAUUGUUUUAAAAUUCAUUAAAUUAUGUGUGUAAAGUUACUUGGGAGCUGCAUUUUUUUUUGUGUUAAUAAAAUUAUUAUUUUGAAAUUCCUCAUUAUGUCAUAUUAUUUUAAUAUAUUAUGUAGUAUCUUAUUUUAAGUGUUUUUAUGUAUAACGGUACGUAUAUAAUUUAUAGAUUAACUUAAUUUUAUAUAUAUUAUUAAUCUCAUGCUAUUUUUUACAAACAAUUAUUCCUAAAUCUAUUUAUGUAUGCAUGUUUUUUUAAUCACUAUACCUUAUCAUGUAUUUUUAUUAUUCUUUCAUAUUUUAUAUAUUAUUUAAGUUAUCAUGUACAUAGUCAAUUUUUGAAUGAAUUUGUGUUUAAAAUAGUUUGCAUAUAAUUCAAUUCAAACUUUUAUUCUAUAAUAUCUAUUUCAAUAAUUAUAUAUCCCUAGUCUUUGUGCAAAUUUGUCAACUUAUCUAUUAUAUAUAUUAUGUAUUCAUUAAUUCAUCAUUAUUUUGAAAAUGUCUUAUACCACAAUUGACUUCUAAUUUCCAUUUUAUUUUGUACAUGUUUUGUGGAUCGUUUCAUAUUGUGCCAUAUUUAUUGUUGUUGUAUAUUAUUUAGUCAUUGUUUUAUCAAUUUUUCUCCAUCCAUUAUUAAGAAUUUGGUUACAUUUCACUUAGAAUAAUUGUACUUAAUUGUUGGAUUUAUUAGUUGUGAUUUAUUGUACUUUAUGUGUGCACAUUAUUUCGUGUUUAUUCAUUUCUUUUUACGAAUGUUUUCUUGUAAUACCUCAAAUGUUCCAUCUCAUUUUAAAACAAAUAAAUGUGUUUUGAGCGAAUUUUCAAUUUUCCUUAUUAUUCAAAAAUUCUGAAAUAAGGCAAUAUCCAAUAUUUGGGAAUUCGAGAAAUCGUGCUCAAUCGUGCUGGGUAUGAUUUUUUCGGUGAACUAAAUAUUUGGAUAACCUUUUAUAAUUUUAGUGUACGAGUUUUUGAAAGUCAAAAGUCGAUCGUAUUUUUGAAGGUAUAAAGGAUCGUAUCCAAUCAUGCUGGGUAUGAUGCUGCAUAUCUUUGAAAUGAGAGAAUUUUGACAGUUAACUUGAACUAUUCACACAUUUUAAAGAAUCAUGCUUUGAAAGAUCUUUUUUCUUAAAAUCUUUGAUAUAAGGAUAGCAUCGAAUCAAUUUGGUACCAAUUUUUGGGCGUAAUGAGGCUGCUUAUCCUUCCUCAUGAAUAACCGACUCCCGAACCCAUUUGUUUUUUAUUUUACGUGAACCAAAAUUGUCUUUAAUGGAACAAAACAUUUUAAUAGGUGGCCCAAUCACACCUAAACCGACAGACUGGUGGCGACUCCACAUUUUUGUUUUAAAAAGUCGAUUCUCAUUUUUCCUAACUCUAAAAAAGGGGUUCGACAGCUUGGCGACUCCACUGGGGAUUGAACAAAGAGGGUCAGGCCAUAAAAUUGAUUAUUUGUUUUCCUUUUGUCAAAGAAUUGAAAUUUUGUUUUGAAAAUCAUGAUUCUUUUAAUUGCAUUUGUUUGCAUGAUUAUUGUGGUUCGAGUCUUGUAAAAUAAUAUGACAUUACAUUGCAUGACCUCUGUGGUUAUACCUGUUAAGUGGGAGUAAGAAACUAUGCUUUUGUGAGGUUUUCACCUCCGCAUGAGCUAGUGGAUUGCUUCCGGGAUACAUCCGUACCUAUGAUUUCGUAAGGUUUUUAUCUCUGCAUGGUCAUAGGGAAAUGUAUUCCCCUGAACCGAACUCGAUUCAUAUGAGCCUAUAAUGGGUAAGAAUUGAGGAAUCUGUUAGUUCAGGUACCCUUUCUCUAAAACCAAACCACAUAUAGUGAAUCUUGAGAAUCCACCUUAAGUAGAACCUUGCCCAAAUUUAGUGGUCACCCAAAUAGGUACUUUAUUUGAUAUUUAUUUCACUUGUACUAACGUGUUUUGUUUUUGUUUUGUUUAUAACUGCAUUGCAUUACAUCAUCAUAGAAAGCAGGUGUUGAUUCAUAUUUGAUUGCUAAAUAGAAUAGUUUGUCAUAAGAAAAUGAAUUUCCUGAUAAAGUGGAUUAUAAUACGGUUGUCUAAAUAGACGGAAGAAGGCUGACAGUUCGUGGAGAAAAACAAGUCUCUACUUGAAGAUUCAAGCUGAUAAAGAUUGUUUGAAAGCCGUCGCGUCUCGAUUUUCUUAACAGAGCUAAUCAAUGUCAUGAGGAUAAUAAGUCGUGGCCUGGAUCAAGCAAAGAAGGGCUAGUGGAGGCAUUUAUUGGAGGCUUGCGAGAUUUGGAUUUCACGAAGAAAAGGGAUUGGUGUUUUCACCUGGAAUAUGAAAGCAAUGCCGUAUAUGUAAUCUGUUUUAUGUAAAGGAAUUUGUUUUCUAGAAAAGUUGUUCUAAUGGAAUUAAAUUCAAAAUCAACACCUCUCUUUCUUUUGCAUUCAUCCCAUGCAUUUGCAUUGCAUUGCAUCAUUUCAUCAUUUGCAUUAAAUUUUCAUAAAAGGGGUCCCUAAUUAGUUGAAAUCAUUUCAGUUAAUUUGGGAACCAAUAAAAACUUACCAAUCAAGCGUCGUUAUGGUACCCGUGCUAAGACAAAAGAUAUGGAUCAAAGGUUGGAAAGACUUGAACAACUUCAAAGAGAGAUGCAAGACCAGUUACAAAUACAGAUGCAAGAGCAAGUGGCGAAGAUUAGGCAAGAUAUGAGGGAUCUGGUGCUAGAGUCUCAAAGGAAUAUGUUGAACCAGUUGUCUCAAUUGCUGACAAAGGGGCUUGAAGAAAGGAAAAGUUUCAUGAUCAAUAUUGGGAAGGACAAUGAAGAGCCUCUCUAUUCUCCGGGUUUCACCCCGAUAAAUACUCAGCCGCAAGGUGUACCUAUUGUCAAAAUUCAGCAAUAUCAGGCCGGUACCUCUGUACUGGUAGAUUACCCGACAGGCUCAGACUCCAAGCCGGGGGGCAACCCAACCAAUCUUGAAGUUCUUGAUUUAGAUGAAAUGGAAAAAGCAGAGAGGGAAUUGCCAAGACAACUUGAGGAUCGGUAUAGGUGGUUGGAGGAAAAAUUGAAAGCAAUGGAGAAUGUUGACCUCUACUAUGGGAUUGAUGCUAAGGAUCUGAGUUUGGUUCCCGAUCUAGUACUCCCACCAAAAUUUAAAACUCCAGAGUUUGAAAAGUACAAUGGUGUAAUACCCCCUACCCGUAUUCAUUUCCGGAAUACGGUACGAGGUAUUACCGGAGUUUACGAAUUUAUUUAUUUAUUUAUUUUUUUAGGAAAACUCAAUAUAAUCCCUUUACAGAUAUCUAACCUUCCCUGCAAUAUUAUAUCGAGACCAAUCCAAAUCAACCAAUCCAAUUCAACAUAUUUUCAAGAUAAAUUCAUGCAUAUUUAUAAAAUAACGUCAUCACAUACCCAAAACCAGGUUUGUUAACCAUACCAAUGGCUAACUCUACAUUCAUUUCACAUAAUCAUUUACUUUAUUAGCUUAUACAUGCCACUGAUUUGCAAAAUAAAGUUUCUUUAUAUACCGAAGUCCUGAGGUUGAUAGUGUGAUGUGUCUCUGACCAAAUCCGACCUCUGAGCUCUUAACACCACAAAACAGGGAAAAAGGAAACGGGGUAAGCACUUUGUGCUUAGUAAGCUCAUGUAACAAGAAUUAUACUUACCUAAUAUUUUCAAUACAAUACAAUAAACAUUCCUAUAUCCAUUCAAUCCAUUAUUAUCCUAAUAUGCACAAACUCAACAUUCAAGUUAGUACAAUAAUUUCCAUGUACCAAUAAUAUAUACUAUGAUUGAUGUGCUCAUCAAUACCAUGAUUUCCAUUUCCUUGUUAUUUUUCCAUAUUUAUCCCAUUGAAUUUCUUGGAAUUUUCGAUGGAUUUUCAGAGAUACACUUUUAGUGUACAUUUCCGGGUCCGUUAAUUCAUAUUCAUGUGCGCACAUAUCCAUUUCAGAGAGCACACUCCUGCGAACCUCAACCGUGCAGCGGGAUUACCAGUCCAGGCUAAAUCCCCUGCAAUAUAAACUCAUAGAGUGUUGUCGGGAUUACCAGUCCAGUCUAAAUCCCCUGCAACGACAAUUACUCUAAUGAGCUUGGAUCUGAAUUACCAGUCCAGGCUAAAUUCAGACCCUAAUUCGGAUUACCCGUCCAGGCUAAAUCCAUUUUAGACAUAUUCUUCUGGAGGGCUAUAUCAGGAUAGGAUCACCCAUCCGGGCUAGAUCCUUUUUACCGUCAAUUCCUUUUCAGAGAUCCAUCGAAUUUUCCUUUCAUUCAACCGGGAUUUCUUCUCCUUUUAUCAAAUAUAUCAAUGUUUCAUAAAUUUUCAUACAAUGAACAUUCAAAUCAUACUCACAUAAAUAACAUACAAUCUCAAGCAUUUAAGAAUAUAAUUCAAGUUACAUGAACUUACCUUGAUACUUGUUUGUAAACAAAAAAAAAUCUACUAAUCUCGAACUUUUUCCUUUCCUCGAUCUAGCUUCGUAUUUGAAUCUUUUGGAUCUAAGUAAAUAAAUUUAAUUAUCAAUUUAAUACAUUUUAUGUUCAUAUGCAACAUUCUCUAUAAUUCAACUAUUAUUUAUAGUUCAUUCAAAGCUGUCUACUUGAGUCAUAGUCACUAAAUUAUUUUUAUCUUGAGAUACAGAACUCUAAAUUAGGAUCCGAUAAUUUUCCCUGAAACUAGACUCAUAUAUAUUCUUACCAUAAAAUUUUCAGAAUUUUUUGUUUAUCCAAUCAGUACAGUUUAUUCUUUAAAGUCACCCCUGUUCUGCUGUCGACAGUUCUGACCCUUCUUCACUAAAAAUUAAUUAUCUCUUCAUAAAGAAUUCAAAUGAUAUUAUCAUUUAUUUCUAUUAAAAAUAGACUCAUUAAGGAUUCUGUACAUAUAAAUUUAAGCCCCUAAUUGUUUUUAUUCAAUUUUUUAUGAAUUUUCAAAGUCAGAAUAGGGGAACCCGAAUUCAUUCUGCCUUGUCUCACAAAAUUUAUUAUAUCUAAAAAUUUACAAAUCCAUUGCUUACAAUAUUUCUUGUAUGAGAAACUAGACUCAAUAAGAUUUAAUUAAAUAUUUUUUUCACAUUCUAAUUCGAUUUCUACAAUUUAUGGUGAUUUUUCAAAGUUAGUCUACUGCUGCUGUCCAAACUGUUUUUGUGCAAGCUGUUUAUUACCAUUUUUGCCCUAAGCUUUUAAUAAAUGAUAAUUUCGUCCCUACUCAAUUAGCCUCUCAAUUGAACUGAUUUUUCUCAAUUAAUAUUUUAUUCUAUCACCUUAAACUAGUUUACAACCUUUAGGAAUCAGAAUUUCAGCAAUAGACUUUAAUUCCAAGUAUUUUCACAAUUAGGUCCUAAAAAUCAAUUUCUAUUGAAAUUACCUAAUAAAAUCAUCUCAUAAACAAAUUAAAGCUUUAAUUUCAUUCUAUUUCAUCAUAAAAUUACAGAAAUCAACCAUGGUGGCUUUCAAUUUCAUCCAUGAAAUCAAAAACUAAUGAAUUUAAUAGUAUGACCUAGUUGUAAAGGUCUUAGAAACACAAAAAUUGCAAGAAAAAGGCAAGGAUUAACUCACUUGGUGCAAAAAUUAUGAAAUACCAGCUUAUAGAACCGUCCUAUGGUGUUUUUAGCUGCUGGAAUUGAAGAGAAAUGAAGAGAAAUCUAGAUAUUUCCUAUUUAGUCCUAGCUUUAUUUAGUUAAUUUUGCAAUAUUCCAAUUUUACCCUUAAUUUAUCAAUUUUUCUGCUGAUUUCAUACCCUUGCCGUCCAGCCCAAAUAACUUUUGGGUCUAAUUCCAUUUUAAAUCCUUUCUCAUUAGACUCUUAAGCUAUUUAAUCAUUCUAGCAACUUUUACACCUAUUACAAUUUAGUCCUUUUCAUUUAAUUGACUACCCAAACAUUAAAAUUUCCUAACGAAAUUUUAGUACCACACUAAUAAAAUUUCAUAAAUAUUUAUAAAAUUAUAUUCGACUCGGUUUUACAAGAUAGAGGUCCCAACAUAUUGUUUUUACCCAAUUUCUUCAAUAAUUUCUUUUUCUAACUAACCACUAAAUCGGUAAAAUUUUUCUAUCAAUAUUUUCAUACGAUUUUCCUAUCAUAUCAAUUUUUGUACAAAAAUAUUGAAAUAAAUUUCUCUUUAAAUCGGAUUUGUGGUUACGAAACCACUAUUCCGAUAACCUUGAAUUUAGGCCAUUACAAAUGGGACUAGUUGUCCUGAAGCUCACGUCACAAUGUUCUGUCGAAGGAUGACAGGAUAUGUUAAUAAUGACCAACUAUUAAUCCAUUGCUUCCAAGACAGUCUGAUCGAGUCAGCAGCUAAAUGGUAUAAUCAAUUGAGUCGUGCUAAAAUCAAAUCAUGGAAAGACUUAGCACAAGCCUUCAUGAAGCAAUAUAGUCUUGUAACAGACAUGGCACCCGAUAGAAUUACCCUGCAAAACAUGGAAAAGAAGCAAAAUGAGAGCUUCAGGCAAUAUGCUCAAAGAUGGAGAGAGGUAGCAACACAAGUCCAACCGCUUCUUCUGGAAAAAGAGAUUACGAUGCUUUUCAUCAAUAUUUUGAAGGCCCCAUUCAUUGACUAUAUGUUGGUAAGUGCUACUCUAAGUUUUUCAGAUAUAGUAGUAUCUGGUGAGAUGAUUGAAAGCGCGGCAAGAAAUGGACAGAUAGAUGUGGGAGAGAGCGUUAAACGGUCGACCCUAAUGAUCAAGGAAAAUAAAGUGAACAUCGUGAGCAUGCCUUCUAAAUUGGUCAACAUAGACCUGUUGAGGGUUGUAAUCACUAGUUAUCAAGGGGAAUUGGAAUGACUUAUCCUAAGAGAGGUCUAGGGAAUAAAAGUUUCCAAACCCUUAUGUACUUGGGAGUGUUUUAAACAAUGGGACUAUGGAAGAGAUCCUUGUAUUUUUAGAGUUGAUUUAGAGUAAUAUUCAAAACACGCUUGUUGCUUUAAGCCUAGGGGCAAUAAGAAUCCUUUUGUGAAAUAGGCUUGUGUCCAAAAUUUUUUAUUUCAAUAAAAUGCAUUCUUUUUGAAUAAAUAUUCUUUCAUUCUUUAUAUAUUCUUUUGUUCUUUGGACUAUUUUUUUUACAAUAUGCUUUCAUUCUUCAUUCAUGAUCAUACCAUACAAAUAAUUAUCCUUAGAAUAAUUUAUUUUUUGGAAUUUUCCUUUGUACCUACAAUAGGUCCCCAGAUAUCAAUGACAUGAGCAACGCUGUAAUUGACUCCCUUUUGGGGUGAGAUAUGUGUUUAAGCGGAUCUCAGGACUUUGAAGAUGACAGAGAUUGUGAUUUAUUUUUUGAUUUGUUAAGGACGAUAGAAUAAGAUGAAAAGCAGAUCCCACUUUACGAAGGGUCAAUGGACACUGUGAGCAAGGGGCAAAGAUCGAAACCUGAGUCAUCACAAAGACAAAAUGAAUCAUCAUUGCGUUAUUCCAAGAAUUCGAAGAUGUUUUCGCAUGAUCAUGUCGAGAUAUACCUAAGAUAUUAGGAUCUGUGGAUGAUACAAAAUGUCUAUACAAUUCUAGAAGGACACAUGUUAAUGGUAGCCACGCUAAUCAUGAGGUUUGGGUAUUGAUAAUCCACCAUGGAAGGGGAUGGCAUUAGUUAAACUGUAUUUAGGGAGACAAGCCACAUUCAUUUCUUCACAGACUUUCUCUAUAUGGGGCAUGGAUGUUGUCAGGCCAUUCUCGUCUAAUACACAUUGAUUCAUCUUGGCAGUUAUUGAUUACUUCAUGAAGAGGGUGAAGGUUGCUUCAUAUGCCAAUAUUACAAGGUCAACAGUCAUCAAAUUCUAAAAAAAAAAGGUUGUUGACAAGUAAUGUCAGAAAGGAUCACUUUCAAAUACAACUGCACAAUGUCAAAAGUUUGCAGUCUGUUCAAAGAUCAGACACCAUAUUACCGUGUAAUAAAGGCAUCUAAAAAGAAAAACAAAAGUUCAAAAAUAGAAAAGAAAAGGGAAAGCAGUGAAGCCAUAAAACAAAGGUCAUAGUGAAAGACGACCGAGCCUUGUAAGGAUUGGUAUAAAGAAGUUAUCAUUUACCCUCUACACUUAUCGAACGGGGGCCGGGACCUUCACCGGGGCAACACAUUGAUUUAUAGGACUGAAACAGUUUUUGAAAACGAGAUUUCUUUUCUUCGAGUCUUGGCAGAACUAAAGUUAGAUGAAUCGGAAUGGGUCCAAUCCUGAUAUGAUCAGUCAAAUUUAAAGGAUAUCCGUCAUAGUGAGAUGAUGCGGGUUUAUGACAGAAAGGUUUAUCCUUGAGAAUUCCAUAAGGGGAGCUUGAUAUUGAAGAAGAUCUUUCCUAUACAAAAGGACUUCAAAGGAAGAAAUAUGCCAAGCUAAGAGAGAUCUUAUGUAAAGGAGGCCUAUUUUGGAGGAGCAUUGAUAUUGACCAAAAAGAUUUGCCUAGUUCGGAGUUCAAAAUGCUGUCAAAGAGUAUUCUACCUAAAAUGGGAGAGGCCAAGGUGAAAACCCGCAAAGGUCACCUUGAGAACUUAAAAAAUAAAAAUAAAAAAAGAGAAAGAAAUAAAAAGAGAAAAUAAAAAAGAAAGAAAGAAAGAAUCAAUCAAAAAAAAAGAAGAAAGAAAAGGAGAGGCCAAGGCGAAAACCCGCAAAGGGCGCUUUGAGACCAAAGGGGAUUUGAGUUGAAAACCCGAAAAAGGGCGGCUCAAAUUUGGAUCAAAAUGGGAUAUACAGUAGUCUUUCCAUACAUGAAUUAACAAUGAAGGAAGUAUGUUAUGUCUUGGGGAAUUGACAAAGUACUCCGGAUCCCCUAAACACAGAUUGAGCUCAGAAUGGUCCUCAAGAAGUUGGUAUAGAGAAGCUCAAGUUGCGAUAUCUGGAGCACCUAGCUUUUUAUUUUUACCCAUUUUUUUACUAUCUUUGAUUACCUGAUUCUUUUCAAGGCACAUCCAAGUAAAUUCCUUUCUUGAUUGCAUUUGCUUAUUUGUUUCGAGCUAUGUUCUCAAUUAAUUCCUUCCUUGUCCAUGGUUAUGAUCUUUUUUCAAGCAUUUUGCAUUGAAAUAACGAUUUCUGGGCUAAUAAUACUUUCAUAAAAGGAGUUUCGCAUAUUACUUUGGGAAGUUUCUAAAUAAUACAGGAGCUUGAAACUAGAUUAUUGUUUAAAACUCACCAAGCUUAAGGGUUGGAAAUAUUUAAGCCCAAAUUGAGAUUAUCUCUUUGGAUUUUCUAUCAAAGAUAUUAAUUGGUGUUAUAAUCCCGGCAAAGAACGAGUAAUGGGGUUAUUCUUGAGAAAAGAAAAAUGAUAUUCUGUAUUCUUACAGAUAUCAGACAUAUACGUCUGCUCAUUACACCCAGAGAAUGGUGUAACAGAUCCAAUUGAUUGAAGAUGAUGCAAAUCCUAUACCUCUGAGUUGCCACAGGAUGGAAGAAAUCAAAUGAUUAUUCCCCUGAGGUUGCAGUGGGAAGUUCAAACUUUAUGUCCCAGAAGUUACAGUGUAAGGGACUCUGAAAUUACAGUGGGGCAAGCUUGCUGAACAGAAUGUGAUUGUUUCUUUGGGUCUUCUGCAAAAAAUACCAGCCGAACAAGAUGGCAGCAUAAUAAAUUAGUGAUAGUGUCCUGAUGAACAACAAGCGAUGAUACCUUAAGCAUUUAAAAAAAAGAGAUCAUUCAAAAAAAAGAUCAUUUUCAUUCAUAUAUCAUUCAUAACACGUUAGGAGCAUUUGAUUCAUUUCGAUCAUAGCAUCCUAAUUAUUUGACACCAGCAUCACAUCUAAUUAGGAGUAUUUGAUUCAUUUUGAUCAUAGCAUCCUAAUUAUUUGACAUAAGCAUCACAUCUAGUUAGGAGCAUUUGAUUCAUUUCGAUCAUAGCAUCCUAAUUAUUUAACAUCAGCAUCACAUCUAGUUAGGAGUAUUUGAUCGUAGCAUCCUAAUUAUUUGGGCAUAAACAUGAUACAUGAAAUCGAGUCUACAAGACAAGUCCAAGAGGAUGGUGUAGUAACAUCGGUGAAGUCAGACUUAUAUCCCUGAAGUUACAGUAGAGUAGGUUGAAGUGACAAGUCUUAUCUCUCUGAAGUUGCAGUGGAGCAGGCUCAAUAUACAAGUCUUAUCUUCCUAAGGUAGCAAGGAAGCAGAUUGAAGGUUGAAGAUCUUAUCUCCCUAGGCAAUAGUUGGGCAGAUCGAAGAUGGCGAAUCUUAUCUCCAUGUAUCGGCAAUGGAGCAGAUUUUAGCCACCAGCCUUAUCUCUCUGAAGUAGCAAGGGAGCAGGUUGGCGAUUGUAGUCUUAUCUUCUUGAGGUAGCAAGGAAGCAGACUGAAGAUUGAAUAUCUUAUCUCCAUGUACCGGUAAUGGAGCAGAUUUUAGCCAUUGACCUUAUCUCUCUGAGGUAGCAAGAGAGCAGGUUGAAGAUGAUAGUCUUAUCCUCUUGAGGCAGCAAUGAAGCAGACUGAAGAUUGCAGGUCUUAUUUCCCUAAGCAGUAGUGGAAUAAACCAAAGACGACAAAUCUUAUCUCCAUGUACCGGCAAUAGAGUAGAUUUAAGUCCCCAGCCUUAUCUCUCUGAAGUUGCAGUGGGGUAGGCUCGAUAUACAAGUCUCUAUCUCCCUGAGGUUGUAGUGGAGCAGACUGAAGAUUGGAGGCAAAUCUUAUCUUCAUGUAUCGACAAUGGAGCAGAUUUAAGCCCCAAGCCUUAUCUCUCUGAGGUAGCAAGAGAGCAGGUUGAAUAUUGAAGUCUUAUCGUCCUGAGGUAGCAAGGAAGCAGACUGAAUAUUGGAGGCAAAUCUUAUCUCCAUGUAUCGACAAUAGAGCAGAUUUAAGCCUGAAGCCUUAUCUCUCUGAGGUAGCAAGAGAGCAGGUUAAAGAUUGAGUCUUAUCUUUCUGAAGUAGUAAGAAAGCAGACUAAAGAUUGAAGAUCUUAUCUCCCCUAAGCAGUAGUGGAGCAGAUCGAAGAUGGCGAAUCUUAUCUCCAUGUACUGGCAAUGGAGCAGAUUUUAGCCACUAGCCUUAUCUCUCUGAAGUAGCAAGAGAGCAGGUUGGCGAUUUUAGUCUUAUCUUCCUGAGGUACCAAGGAAGUAGACUGAAGACUAAAGAUCUAUUUCCCUAAAGCAGUUGCGGAGCAGAUUGAGAAUAGUAAAUCUUAUCUCCAUGUAUUGGCAAUGGAACAGAUUUAAGUCAAUAGUCCUAUUUCCUUACAGUCAGAAUGCAGCAAAACCAAGCAAAAUUGGCCCUAUUUGAAGUCUUUGCUCUAUUCUCAUUACACGACAAUGAGCAAAGAGGGGCAGCUGUAAUGGCUGAUUUUUUGCCGGGGCCCAUACAAAAACCAAAAAACAAAAUAAACCAAAAUUAAAGUCCAAUGUCCAUAAUACCCAAGCCCAAAAUCCAAAAUAACAAGACCCAACAAAAUACGGCCCAAAUGACCCAAAAAAAACCCCCAAACCCUAGCCUGCUGCCUACUGCAGACACCAGCAGCUUCCGCCCAGCCUCCAUGCUCCACAACGGCCUCCACGCUCACGAACGGUUUCCCCACGCCAUGCACACCUACAACAAACGAAAACCACAACAGCAAAUGACGGCAAACCGAAUUACAGCAAUCAAAUAGAGGAGAAAAAUGGAAAAAUUGUAAAUAUUAUAUUUCAUUUUUGGCUAUAAAAAGCCAUUGUAAAUAUUGAUUUUGAGGAUACACGGAUUGAAAAAAAAACAAUUAGAAUUGAAAAGGUGAUUCAAGUUUUCAGUUUUUUUUUUGUUUUCAGAUUUCGUUUUUUUAAUAUUUUUUCUCUUCUAUUCUUUUCUCUCAUAUUUCACAUGAAGAGAAUAAAGGAAAAGAGUACUUGCCUUUGGCCUUUGAUCGCAUCUCUUUUGCUCAUGGUCGGCCACCAAGUUUGAUGGUGGUUCAGCAGUGACUUUGAGAGCCCUAACAUUAGAGAUUUGAUUUGCUGUUUGCAAAAAUGGCAGUGCCAUUCAUUUUUUUUUCUUUAAUUUUGAUUGCAAAGAAACAACACCGUUUCAAGGGGAAAUGUUUGGUUAUUUGCUGCAGAUGGUUAAUUUAUGCGAUUAAUCCCUCCCCUUCGCGUUGAUUUUCAAUUGGAUCCUAUUUGUGUUUUAUUUGUUUUUUAAAUUUUUCCUAAAAUCUGUGUGCUAUUUUAAUUUAGCCCGCGUUUAAGCUUUAUGUUUUCGGACCAGGAUUAUUCCCAACUUUAGUCCCUUAGCAUUUACGCGCAUUAUGCAUUAGCCCUCUGUUUAAUUUCAAAAUUUAUAAAUUAUCCCCUUUCAUUUUAAAUUUAUUUCAAUUAGGAUUUUUGUUUAUAUGAUUUAUUAUUUUUGAGGAGACUCAUUUAAUAUAUUUUUUAUGUGUCAGAAUUGUUUUAAUAAUUUUUAUUUUUGUUUAAAUAAAUCUUUGUUUUGAAAUCUUUAUACUAUUUUACAGUACGUAUAGAAUUUGAUUUAAAUAUUCAUGUUGAGCUUUCUAUUUGAAAUGCUUAUUAUUUUAAAAUUUACUUAAUAUUCUUAUAUAUGUGUUAAUUUAAAAAAAAAGAAAUAAUUUUGUUUUAUUUUUAUUUGUACAGUUAUUUUGGAGUUGAUUUUAUUAUAUUAUUUUUAACAUUUUUUUAUAAUUUUUCGACUAAAUAUUUCCGGAUAUGUUUGUACAUAUAUUAUUUUAAUGGGCUUUUUUUUAUUUUAAAAUACUUAUUGUUUUAAAAUUCAUUAAAUUAUGUGUGUAAAGUUACUUGGGAGCUGCAUUUUUUUUUGUGUUAAUAAAAUUAUUAUUUUGAAAUUCCUCAUUAUGUCAUAUUAUUUUAAUAUAUUAUGUAGUAUCUUAUUUUAAGUGUUUUUAUGUAUAACGGUACGUAUAUAAUUUAUAGAUUAACUUAAUUUUAUAUAUAUUAUUAAUCUCAUGCUAUUUUUUACAAACAAUUAUUCCUAAAUCUAUUUAUGUAUGCAUGUUUUUUUAAUCACUAUACCUUAUCAUGUAUUUUUAUUAUUCUUUCAUAUUUUAUAUAUUAUUUAAGUUAUCAUGUACAUAGUCAAUUUUUGAAUGAAUUUGUGUUUAAAAUAGUUUGCAUAUAAUUCAAUUCAAACUUUUAUUCUAUAAUAUCUAUUUCAAUAAUUAUAUAUCCCUAGUCUUUGUGCAAAUUUGUCAACUUAUCUAUUAUAUAUAUUAUGUAUUCAUUAAUUCAUCAUUAUUUUGAAAAUGUCUUAUACCACAAUUGACUUCUAAUUUCCAUUUUAUUUUGUACAUGUUUUGUGGAUCGUUUCAUAUUGUGCCAUAUUUAUUGUUGUUGUAUAUUAUUUAGUCAUUGUUUUAUCAAUUUUUCUCCAUCCAUUAUUAAGAAUUUGGUUACAUUUCACUUAGAAUAAUUGUACUUAAUUGUUGGAUUUAUUAGUUGUGAUUUAUUGUACUUUAUGUGUGCACAUUAUUUCGUGUUUAUUCAUUUCUUUUUACGAAUGUUUUCUUGUAAUACCUCAAAUGUUCCAUCUCAUUUUAAAACAAAUAAAUGUGUUUUGAGCGAAUUUUCAAUUUUCCUUAUUAUUCAAAAAUUCUGAAAUAAGGCAAUAUCCAAUAUUUGGGUAUUUGAGAAAUCGUGCUCAAUCGUGCUGGGUAUGAUUUUUUCGGUGAACUAAAUAUUUGGAUAACCUUUUAUAAUUUUAGUGUACGAGUUUUUGAAAGUCAAAAGUCGAUCGUAUUUUUGAAGGUAUAAAGGAUCGUAUCCAAUCAUGCUGGGUAUGAUGCUGCAUAUCUUUGAAAUGAGAGAAUUUUGACAGUUAACUUGAACUAUUCACACAUUUUAAAGAAUCAUGCUUUGAAAGAUCUUUUUUCUUAAAAUCUUUGAUAUAAGGAUAGCAUCGAAUCAAUUUGGUACCAAUUUUUGGGCGUAAUGAGGCUGCUUAUCCUUCCUCAUGAAUAACCGACUCCCGAACCCAUUUGUUUUUUAUUUUACGUGAACCAAAAUUGUCUUUAAUGGAACAAAACAUUUUAAUAGGUGGCCCAAUCACACCUAAACCGACAGACUGGUGGCGACUCCACAUUUUUGUUUUAAAAAGUCGAUUCUCAUUUUUCCUAACUCUAAAAAAGGGGUUCGACAGCUUGGCGACUCCACUGGGGAUUGAACAAAGAGGGUCAGGCCAUAAAAUUGAUUAUUUGUUUUCCUUUUGUCAAAGAAUUGAAAUUUUGUCUUGAAAAUCAUGAUUCUUUUAAUUGCAUUUGUUUGCAUGAUUAUUGUGGUUCGAGUCUUGUAAAAUAAUAUGACAUUACAUUGCAUGACCUCUGUGGUUAUACCUGUUAAGUGGGAGUAAGAAACUAUGCUUUUGUGAGGUUUUCACCUCCGCAUGAGCUAGUGGAUUGCUUCCGGGAUACAUCCGUACCUAUGAUUUCGUAAGGUUUUUAUCUCUGCAUGGUCAUAGGGAAAUGUAUUCCCCUGAACCGAACUCGAUUCAUAUGAGCCUAUAAUGGGUAAGAAUUGAGGAAUCUGCUAGUUCAGGUACCCUUUCUCUAAAACCAAACCACAUAUAGUGAAUCUUGAGAAUCCACCUUAAGUAGAACCUUGCCCAAAUUUAGUGGUCACCCAAAUAGGUACUUUAUUUGAUAUUUAUUUCACUUGUACUAACGUGUUUUGUUUUUUUUUUGUUUAUAACUGCAUUGCAUUACAUCAUCAUAGAAAGCAGGUGUUGAUUCAUAUUUGAUUGCUAAAUAGAAUAGUUUGUCAUAAGAAAAUGAAUUUCCUGAUAAAGUGGAUUAUAAUACGGUUGUCUAAAUAGACGGAAGAAGGCUGACAGUUCGUGGAGAAAAACAAGUCUCUACUUGAAGAUUCAAGCUGAUAAAGAUUGUUUGAAAGCCGUCGCGUCUCGAUUUUCUUAACAGAGCUAAUCAAUGUCAUGAGGAUAAUAAGUCGUGGCCUGGAUCAAGCAAAGAAGGGCUAGUGGAGGCAUUUAUUGGAGGCUUGCGAGAUUUGGAUUUCACGAAGAAAAGGGAUUGGUGUUUUCACCUGGAAUAUGAAAGCAAUGCCGUAUAUGUAAUCUGUUUUAUGUAAAGGAAUUUGUUUUCUAGAAAAGUUGUUCUAAUGGAAUUAAAUUCAAAAUCAACACCUCUCUUUCUUUUGCAUUCAUCCCAUGCAUUUGCAUUGCAUUGCAUCAUUUCAUCAUUUGCAUUAAAUUUUCAUAAAAGGGGUCCCUAAUUAGUUGAAAUCAUUUCAGUUAAUCUGGGAACCAAUAAAAACUUACCAAUCAAGCGUCGUUACGGUACCUGUGCUAAGACAAAAGAUAUGGAUCAAAGGUUGAAAAGACUUGAACAACUUCAAAGAGAGAUGCAAGACCAGUUACAAAUACAGAUGCAAGAGCAAGUGGCGAAGAUUAGGCAAGAUAUGAGGGAUCUGGUGCUAGAGUCUCAAAGGAAUAUGUUGAACCAGUUGUCUCAAUUGCUGACAAAGGGGCUUGAAGAAAGGAAAAGUUUCAUGAUCAAUAUUGGGAAGGACAAUGAGGAGCCUCUCUAUUCUCCGGGUUUCACCCCGAUAAAUACUCAGCCGCAAGGUGUACCUAUUGUCAAAAUUCAGCAAUAUCAGGCCGGUACCUCUGCACUGGUAGAUUACCCGACAGGCUCAGACUCCAAGCCGGGGGGCAACCCAACCAAUCUUGAAGUUCUUGAUUUAGAUGAAAUGGAAAAAGCAGAGAGGGAAUUGCCAAGACAACUUGAGGAUCGGUAUAGGUGGUUGGAGGAAAAAUUGAAAGCAAUGGAGAAUGUUGACCUCUACUAUGGGAUUGAUGCUAAGGAUCUGAGUUUGGUUCCCGAUCUAGUACUCCCACCAAAAUUUAAAACUCCAGAGUUUGAAAAGUACAAUGGUGUAAUACCCCCUACCCGUAUUCAUUGCCGGAAUACGGUACGAGGUAUUACCGGAGUUUACGAAUUUAUUUAUUUAUUUUUUUAGGAAAACUCAAUAUAAUCCCUUUACAGAUAUCUAACCUUCCCUGCAAUAUUAUAUCGAGACCAAUCCAAAUCAACCAAUCCAAUUCAACAUAUUUUCAAGAUAAAUUCAUGCAUAUUUAUAAAAUAACGUCAUCACAUACCCAAAACCAGGUUUGUUAACCAUACCAAUGGCUAACUCUACAUUCAUUUCACAGAAUCAUUUACUUUAUUAGCUUAUACAUGCCACUGAUUUGCAAAAUAAAGUUUCUUUAUAUACCGAAGUCCUGAGGUUGAUAGUGUGAUGUGUCUCUGACCAAAUCCGACCUCCGAGCUCUUAACACCACAAAACAGGGAAAAAGGAAACGGGGUAAGCACUUUGUGCUUAGUAAGCUCAUGUAACAAGAAUUAUACUUACCUAAUAUUUUCAAUACAAUACAAUAAACAUUCCUAUAUCCAUUCAAUCCAUUAUUAUCCUAAUAUGCACAAUCCAACAUUCAAGUUAGUACAAUAAUUUCCAUGUACCAAUAAUAUAUACUAUGAUUGAUGUGCUCAUCAAUACCAUGAUUUCCAUUUCCUUGUUAUUUUUCCAUAUUUAUCCCAUUGAAUUUCUUGGAAUUUUCGAUGGAUUUUCAGAGAUACACUUUUAGUGUACAUUUCCGGGUCCGUUAAUUCAUAUUCAUGUGCGCACAUAUCCAUUUCAGAGAGCACACUCCUGCGAACCUCAACCGUGCAGCGGGAUUACCAGUCCAGGCUAAAUCCCCUGCAAUAUAAACUCAUAGAGUGUUGUCGGGAUUACCAGUCCAGUCUAAAUCCCCUGCAACGACAAUUACUCUAAUGAGCUUGGAUCUGAAUUACCAGUCCAGGCUAAAUUCAGACCCCAAUUCGGAUUACCCGUCCAGGCUAAAUCCAUUUUACACAUAUUCUUCUGGAGGGCUAUAUCAGGAUAGGAUCACCCAUCCGGGCUAGAUCCUUUUUACCGUCAAUUCCUUUUCAGAGAUCCAUCGAAUUUUCCUUUCAUUCAACCGGGAUUUCUUCUCCUUUUAUCAAAUAUAUCAAUGUUUCAUAAAUUUUCAUACAAUGAACAUUCAAAUCAUACUCACAUAAAUAACAUACAAUCUCAAGCAUUUAAGAAUAUAAUUCAAGUUACAUGAACUUACCUUGAUACUUGUUUGUAAACAAAAAAAAAUCUACUAAUCUCGAACUUUUUCCUUUCCUCGAUCUAGCUUCGUAUUUGAAUCUUCUGGAUCUAAGUAAAUAAAUUUAAUUAUCAAUUUAAUACAUUUCAUGUUCAUAUGCAACAUUCUCUAUAAUUCAACUAUUAUUUAUAGUUCAUUCAAAGCUGUCUACUUGAGUCAUAGUCACUAAAUUAUUUUUAUCUUGAGAUACAGAACUCAAAAUUAGGAUCCGAUAAUUUUCCCUGAAACUAGACUCAUAUAUAUUCUUACCAUAAAAUUUUCAGAAUUUUUUGUUUAUCCAAUCAGUACAGUUUAUUCUUUAAAGUCACCCCUGUUCUGCUGUCGACAGUUCUGACCCUUCUUCACUAAAAAUUAAUUAUCUCUUCAUAAAGAAUUCAAAUGAUGUUAUCAUUUGUUUCUAUUAAAAAUAGACUCAUUAAGGAUUCUGUACAUAUAAAUUUAAGUCCCUAAUUGUUUUUCUUCAAUUUUUUAUGAAUUUUCAAAGUCAGAAUAGGGGAACCCGAAUUCAUUCUGCCUUGUCUCACAAAAUUUAUUAUAUCUAAAAAUUUACAAAUCCAUUGCUUAUAAUAUUUCUUGUAUGAGAAACUAGACUCAAUAAGCUUUAAUUAAAUAUUUUUUUCAUAUUCUAAUUCGAAUUUAUGGUGAUUUUUCAAAGUUAGUCUACUGCUGCUGUCCAAACUGUUUUUGUGCAAGCUGUUUAUUACCAUUUUUUCCCUAAGCUUUUAAUAAAUGAUAAUUUCGUCCCUACUCAAUUAGCCUCUCAAUUGAACUGAUUUUUCUCAAUUAAUAUUUUAUUCUAUCACCUUAAACUAGUUUACAACCUUUAGGAAUCAGAAUUUCAGCAAUAGACUUUAAUUCCAAGUAUUUUCACAAUUAGGUCCUAAAAAUCAAUUUCUAUUGAAAUUACCUAAUAAAAUCAUCUCAUAAACAAAUUAAAGCUUUAAUUUCAUUCUAUUUCAUCAUAAAAUUACAGAAAUCAACCAUGGUGGCUUUCAAUUUCAUCCAUGAAAUCAAAAACUAAUGAAUUUAAUAGUAUGACCUAGUUGUAAAGGUCUUAGAAACACAAAAAUUACAAGAAAAAGUCAAGGAUUAACUCACUUGGUGCAAAAAUUAUGAAAUACCAGCUUAUAGAACCGUCCUAUGGUGUUUUUAGCUGCUGGAAUUGAAGAGAAAUGAAGAGAAAUCUAGAUAUUUCCUAUUUAGUCCUAGCUUUAUUUAGUUAAUUUUGCAAUAUUCCAAUUUUACCCUUAAUUUAUCAAUUUUUCUGCUGAUUUCAUACCCUUGCCGUCCAGCCCAAAUAACUUUUGGGUCUAAUUCCCUUUUAAAUCCUUUCUCAUUAGACUCUUAAGCUAUUUAAUCAUUCUAGCAACUUUUACACCUAUUACAAUUUAGUCCUUUUCAUUUAAUUGACUACCCAAACAUUAAAAUUUCCUAACGAAAUUUUAGUACCACACUAAUAAAAUUUCAUAAAUAUUUAUAAAAUUAUAUUCGACUCGGUUUUACAAGAUAGAGGUCCCAACAUAUUGUUUUUACCCAAUUUCUUCAAUAAUUUCUUUUUCUAACUAACCACUAAAUCGGUAAAAUUUUUCUAUCAAUAUUUUCAUACGAUUUUCCUAUCAUAUCAAUUUUCGUGCAAAAAUAUUGAAAUAAAUUUCUCUUUAAAUCGGAUUUGUGGUUACGAAACCACUAUUCUAAUAACCUUGAAUUUAGGCCAUUACAAAUGGGACUAGUUGUCCUGAAGCUCACGUCACAAUGUUCUGUCGAAGGAUGACAGGAUAUGUUAAUAAUGACCAACUAUUAAUCCAUUGCUUCCAAGACAGUCUGAUCGAGUCAGCAGCUAAAUGGUAUAAUCAAUUGAGUCGUGCUAAAAUCAAAUCAUGGAAAGACUUAGCACAAGCCUUCAUGAAGCAGUAUAGUCUUGUAACAGACAUGGCACCCGAUAGAAUUACCCUGCAAAAUAUGGAAAAGAAGCAAAAUGAGAGCUUCAGGCAAUAUGCUCAAAGAUGGAGAGAGGUAGCAACACAAGUCCAACCGCUUCUUCUGGAAAAAGAGAUUACGAUGCUUUUCAUCAAUAUUUUGAAGGCCCCAUUCAUUGACUAUAUGUUGGUAAGUGCUACUCUAAGUUUUUCAGAUAUAGUAGUAUCUGGUGAGAUGAUUGAAAGCGCGGCAAGAAAUGGACAGAUAGAUGUGGGAGAGAGCGUUAAACGGUCGACCCUAAUGAUCAAGGAAAAUAAAGUGAACAUCGUGAGCAUGCCUUCUAAAUUGGUCAACAUAGACCUGUUGAGGGUUGUAAUCACUAGUUAUCAAGGGGAAUUGGAAUGACUUAUCCAAAGAGAGGUCCAGGGAAUAAAAGUUUCCAAACCCUUAUGUACUUGGGAGUGUUUUAAACAAUGGGACUAUGGAAGAGAUCCUUGUAUUUUUAGAGUUGAUUUAGAGUAAUAUUCAAAACACGCUUGUUGCUUUAAGCCUAGGGGCAAUAAGAAUCCUUUUGUGAAAUAGGCUUGUGUCCAAAAUUUUUUAUUUCAAUAAAAUGCAUUAUUUUUGAAUAAAUAUUCUUUCAUUCUUUAUAUAUUCUUUUGUUCUUUGGACUAUUUUUUUUACAAUAUGCUUUCAUUCUUCAUUCAUGAUCAUACCAUACAAAUAAUUAUCCUUAGAAUAAUUUAUUUUUUGGAAUUUUCCUUUGUACCUACAAUAGGUCCCCAGAUAUCAAUGACAUGAGCAACGCUGUAACUGACUCCCUUUUGGGGUGAGAUAUGUGUUUAAGCGGAUCUCAGGACUUUGAAGAUGACAGAGAUUGUGAUUUAUUUUUUGAUUUGUUAAGGACGAUAGAAUAAGAUGAAAAGCAGAUCCCACUUUACGAAGGGUCAAUGGACACUGUGAGCAAGGGGCAAAGAUCGAAACCUGAGUCAUCACAAAGACAAAAUAAAUCAUCAUUGCGUUAUUCCAAGAAUUCGAAGAUGUUUUCGCAUGAUCAUGUCGAGAUAUACCUAAGAUAUUAGGAUCUGUGGAUGAUACAAAAUGUCUAUACAAUUCUAGAAGGACACAUGUUAAUGGUAGCCACGCUAAUCAUGAGGUUUGGGUAUUGAUAAUCCACCAUGGAAGGGGAUGGCAUUAGUUAAACUGUAUUUAGGGAGACAAGCCACAUUCAUUUCUUCACAGACUUUCUCUAUAUGGGGCAUGGAUGUUGUCAGGCCAUUCUCGUCUAAUACACAUUGAUUCAUCUUGGCAGUUAUUGAUUACUUCAUGAAGAGGGUGAAGGUUGCUUCAUAUGCCAAUAUUACAAGGUCAACAGUCAUCAAAUUCUAAAAAAAAAAAGGUUGUUGACAAGUAAUGUCAGAAAGGAUCACUUUCAAAUACAACUGCACAAUGUCAAAAGUUUGCAGUCUGUUCAAAGAUCAGACACCAUAUUACCGUGUAAUAAAGGCAUCUAAAAAGAAAAACAAAAGUUCAAAAAUAGAAAAGAAAAGGGAAAGCAGUGAAGCCAUAAAACAAAGGUCAUAGUGAAAGACGACCGAGCCUUGUAAGGAUUGGUAUAAAGAAGUUAUCAUUUACCCUCUACACUUAUCGAACGGGGGCCGGGACCUUCACCGGGGCAACACAUUGAUUUAUAGGACUGAAACAGUUUUUGAAAACGAGAUUUCUUUUCUUCGAGUCUUGGCAGAACUAAAGUUAGAUGAAUCGGAAUGGGUCCAAUCCUGAUAUGAUCAGUCAAAUUUAAAGGAUAUCCGUCAUAGUGAGAUGAUGCGGGUUUAUGACAGAAAGGUUUAUCCUUGAGAAUUCCAUAAGGGGAGCUUGAUAUUGAAGAAGAUCUUUCCUAUACAAAAGGACUUCAAAGGAAGAAAUAUGCCAAGCUAAGAGAGAUCUUAUGUAAAGGAGGCCUAUUUUGGAGGAGCAUUGAUAUUGACCAAAAAGAUUUGCCUAGUUCGGAGUUCAAAAUGCUGUCAAAGAGUAUUCUACCUAAAAUGGGAGAGGCCAAGGUGAAAACCCGCAAAGGUCACCUUGAGAACUUAAAAAAUAAAAAUAAAAAAAGAGAAAGAAAUAAAAAGAGAAAAUAAAAAAGAAAGAAAGAAAGAAUCAAUCAAAAAAAAAAGAAGAAAGAAAAGGAGAGGCCAAGGCGAAAACCCGCAAAGGGCGCUUUGAGACCAAAGGGGAUUUGAGUUGAAAACCCGAAAAAGGGCGGCUCAAAUUUGGAUCAAAAUGGGAUAUACAGUAGUCUUUCCAUACAUGAAUUAACAAUGAAGGAAGUAUGUUAUGUCUUGGGGAAUUGACAAAGUACUCCGGAUCCCCUAAACACAGAUUGAGCUCAGAAUGGUCCUCAAGAAGUUGGUAUAGAGAAGCUCAAGUUGCGAUAUCUGGAGCACCUAGCUUUUUAUUUUUACCCAUUUUUUUACUAUCUUUGAUUACCUGAUUCUUUUCAAGGCACAUCCAAGUAAAUUCCUUUCUUGAUUGCAUUUGCUUAUUUGUUUCGAGCUAUGUUCUCAAUUAAUUCCUUCCUUGUCCAUGGUUAUGAUCUUUUUUCAAGCAUUUUGCAUUGAAAUAACGAUUUCUGGGCUAAUAAUACUUUCAUAAAAGGAGUUUCGCAUAUUACUUUGGGAAGUUUCUAAAUAAUACAGGAGCUUGAAACUAGAUUAUUGUUUAAAACUCACCAAGCUUAAGGGUUGGAAAUAUUUAAGCCCAAAUUGAGAUUAUCUCUUUGGAUUUUCUAUCAAAGAUAUUAAUUGGUGUUAUAAUCCCGGCAAAGAACGAGUAAUGGGGUUAUUCUUGAGAAAAGAAAAAUGAUAUUCUAUAUUCCUACAGAUAUCAGACAUAUACGUCUGCUCAUUACACCCAGAGAAUGGUGUAACAGAUUCAAUUGAUUGAAGAUGAUGCAAAUCCUAUACCUCUGAGUUGCCACAGGAUGGAAGAAAUCAAAUGAUUAUUCCCCUGAGGUUGCAGUGGGAAGUUCAAACUUUAUGUCCCAGAAGUUACAGUGUAAGGGACUCUGAAAUUACAGUGGGGCAAGCUUGCUGAACAGAAUGUGAUUGUUUCUUUGGGUCUUCUGCAAAAAAUACCAGCCAAACAAGAUGGCAGCAUAAUAAAUUAGUGAUAGUGUUCUGAUGAACAACAAGCGAUGAUACCUUAAGCAUUUAAAAAAAAAGAGAUCAUUCAAAAAAAAGAUCAUUUUCAUUCAUAUAUCAUUCAUAACACGUUAGGAGCAUUUGAUUCAUUUCGAUCAUAGCAUCCUAAUUAUUUGACACCAGCAUCACAUCUAAUUAGGAGUAUUUGAUUCAUUUUGAUCAUAGCAUCCUAAUUAUUUGACAUAAGCAUCACAUCUAGUUAGGAGCAUUUGAUUCAUUUCGAUCAUAGCAUCCUAAUUAUUUAACAUCAGCAUCACAUCUAGUUAGGAGUAUUUGAUCGUAGCAUCCUAAUUAUUUGGGCAUAAACAUGAUACAUGAAAUCGAGUCUACAAGACAAGUCCAAGAGGAUGGUGUAGUAACAUCGGUGAAGUCAGACUUAUAUCCCUGAAGUUACAGUAGAGUAGGUUGAAGUGACAAGUCUUAUCUCUCUGAAGUUGCAGUGGAGCAGGCUCAAUAUACAAGUCUUAUCUUCCUAAGGUAGCAAGGAAGCAGAUUGAAGGUUGAAGAUCUUAUCUCCCUAGGAAAUAGUUGGGCAGAUCAAAGAUGGCGAAUCUUAUCUCCAUGUAUCGGCAAUGGAGCAGAUUUUAGCCACCAGCCUUAUCUUUCUGAAGUAGCAAGGGAGCAGGUUGGCGAUUGUAGUCUUAUCUUCUUGAGGUAGCAAGGAAGCAGACUGAAGAUUGAAUAUCUUAUCUCCAUGUACCGGUAAUGGAGCAGAUUUUAGCCAUUGACCUUAUCUCUCUGAGGUAGCAAGAGAGCAGGUUGAAGAUGAUAGUCUUAUCCUCUUGAGGCAGCAAGGAAGCAGACUGAAGAUUGCAGGUCUUAUUUCCCUAAGCAGUAGUGGAAUAAACCAAAGACGACAAAUCUUAUCUCCAUGUACCGGCAAUAGAGUAGAUUUAAGUCCCCAGCCUUAUCUCUCUGAAGUUGCAGUGGGGUAGGCUCGAUAUACAAGUCUCUAUCUCCCUGAGGUUGUAGUGGAGCAGACUGAAGAUUGGAGGCAAAUCUUAUCUUCAUGUAUCGACAAUGGAGCAGAUUUAAGCCCCAAGCCUUAUCUCUCUGAGGUAGCAAGAGAGCAGGUUGAAGAUUGAAGUCUUAUCGUCCUGAGGUAGCAAGGAAGCAGACUGAAUAUUGGAGGCAAAUCUUAUCUCCAUGUAUCGACAAUAGAGCAGAUUUAAGCCUGAAGCCUUAUCUCUCUGAGGUAGCAAGAGAGCAGGUUAAAGAUUGAGUCUUAUCUUUCUGAAGUAGUAAGAAAGCAGACUAAAGAUUGAAGAUCUUAUCUCCCCUAAGCAGUAGUGGAGCAGAUCGAAGAUGGCGAAUCUUAUCUCCAUGUACUGGCAAUGGAGCAGAUUUUAGCCACUAGCCUUAUCUCUCUGAAGUAGCAAGAGAGCAGGUUGGCGAUUUUAGUCUUAUCUUCCUGAGGUACCAAGGAAGUAGACUGAAGACUAAAGAUCUAUUUCCCUAAAGCAGUUGCGGAGCAGAUUGAGAAUAGCAAAUCUUAUCUCCAUGUAUUGGCAAUGGAACAGAUUUAAGUCAAUAGUCCUAUUUCCUUACAGUCAGAAUGCAGCAAAACCAAGCAAAAUUGGCCCUAUUUGAAGUCUUUGCUCUACUCUCAUUACACGACAAUGAGCAAAGAGGGGCAGCUGUAAUGGCUGAUUUUUUGCCGGGGCCCAUACAAAAACCAAAAAACAAAAUAAACCAAAAUUAAAGUCCAAUGUCCAUAAUACCCAAGCCCAAAAUCCAAAAUAACAAGACUCAACAAAAUAUGGCCCAAAUGACCCAAAAAAAACCCCCAAACCCUAGCCUGCUGCCUAGUGCAGACACCAGCAGCUUCCGCCCAGCCUCCAUGCUCCACAACGGCCUCCACGCUCACGAACGGUUUCCCCACGCCAUGCACACCUACAACAAACGAAAACCACAACAGCAAAUGACGGCAAACCGAAUUACAGCAAUCAAAUAGAGGAGAAAAAGGGAAAAAUUGUAAAUAUUAUAUUUCAUUUUUGGCUAUAAAAAGCCAUUGUAAAUAUUGAUUUUGAGGAUACACGGAUUGAAAAAAAAACAAUUAGAAUUGAAAAGGUGAUUCAAGUUUUCAGUUUUUUUUUUUAGUUUUCAGAUUUCGUUUUUUUAAUAUUUUUUCUCUUCUCUUCUUUUCUCUCAUAUUUCACAUGAAGAGAAUAAAGGAAAAGAGUACUUGCCUUUGGCCUUUGAUCGCAUCUCUUUUGCUCAUGGUCGGCCACCAAGUUUGAUGGUGGUUCAGCAGUGACUUUGAGAGCCCUAACAUUAGAGAUUUGAUUUGCUGUUUGCAAAAAUGGCAGUGCCAUUCAGUUUUUUUUCUUUAAUUUUGAUUGCAAAGAAACAACACCGUUUCAA
This 25591-nucleotide long non-coding RNA is filed under the name Gossypium barbadense (sea-island cotton). Its description in RNAcentral is "long non-coding RNA (GBAR_LNC001209)". Lineage: Eukaryota; Viridiplantae; Streptophyta; Magnoliopsida; Malvales; Malvaceae. The record is from RNAcentral.